This 406-nucleotide ribosomal RNA is filed under the name uncultured bacterium. RNAcentral describes it as "partial 16S ribosomal RNA". It matches the Rfam family "Bacterial small subunit ribosomal RNA", at positions 29 to 526 of the family's 1533-position model. The record is from RNAcentral.
AAUGAACGCUGGCGGUAGGCCUAACACAUGCAAGUCGAACGCGUGGCGGACGGGAGAGGAAUACAUCGGAAUCUACUCUGUCGUGGGGGAUAAAGUAGGGACACUUACGAAAAUAGCGCAAACGCUUAAAUGCGCCGCUGUCGGAUUAGAUAGUUGGAGGAGUAAAGGCCCACAAAGUCGACAAUCCGGAGCUGGUCUGAGAGGAUGAUCAGCCCAACGUGAACUGAGACACGGCCCAGACUCCUACGGGAGGCAGCAGUGGGGAAUAGUGGACAAUGGGAGCAAGCCUGAUCCAGCCAUACCGCGUGGGUGAAGAAGGCCUUCGGGUUUUAAAGCCCUUUUGUUGGGGAAGCGUUACCCAAAGAAUAAGCACCGGCUAACGUCGUGCCAGCAGCCGCGGUAAUUC